UUUUUAUCUAAGGUGCUCAAAACAUUUUUGCCAAUAUUACACCUAGUUCCUACUUCCCCUUCACAACCUUCCCCACAACUAUGGGAGGAAAAACAAGCUUUUUGUAGGAAGGAUGUCUCCUCUGCAUAUUGAUAUAAGUCUGAGUACAACUUUAGGAAAAUAACUUUCCAAAGAAGGUGUGGGUGGGGACUCCUGGGAUUCUCCAGGGCGCCAGAUCCUCCAAGCACACCACACCGGUAAAGGCCGUGCUCCACCACUUCAAAGGCCGUGCGGUAGAGUUCAUCUUGGCAGACAUGGAUGCUACCAAGAAGAGCAAUUCUUCAUUUGGGCCAGGAACCAAAAGGGAGAAUUCAGAAGGGAGAGUAAGAAGACAUUUUCCCAUCCAGAUAUAAGUCCGGCCCAAACCUCCUUUCUUCAACGAAAGCUUCCACGUGACCUCUCCUCUUCCUGGUGGCCUGCAGUACUUCUUUGAUGACAUAUCCUGACACCUGAUUAAACUCUACACCAGACCAACUAGAUGUGGCCAGACCACAGCCUCCUUUUCUAUACCUCAUAAGUUCUAGUACCAUUUUGGGCAUUCAGCUGAUGGUCAAAUUGUUUUUUCUUCAAAAAACAAUAGCUUUAUUUUCAUUAUGAUUAUAAACAUGUUACAGGGUCAUUAUUUUAAAACUCAAACCAUACAGAAAAGUGUGAAGAAAAAAGUAAAACCUCAACACUGAGAGAAAACCACUAAUAACAUUUUGGUAAACCUCUUUUCAAACAUAUUUGUAUGCAUGUAAACCUACACAGACAUAAAGAUAUGUAAUUUUAUAUAUAUGGUAUACCAUAUCAUGCUGUUCUGCAACUUGAGACAAUAAUUAUAGAUUUGAAAUGUC
This is a long non-coding RNA of Myotis daubentonii (Daubenton's bat), 875 nucleotides long. RefSeq lists it as uncharacterized. The record is from RefSeq and is a predicted model, not a curated record. Lineage: Eukaryota; Metazoa; Chordata; Mammalia; Chiroptera; Vespertilionidae.